Long non-coding RNA from Rosa chinensis, 628 nucleotides. RefSeq lists it as uncharacterized. The record is from RefSeq and is a predicted model, not a curated record. NCBI's taxonomy places the organism in Eukaryota, Viridiplantae, Streptophyta, Magnoliopsida, Rosales, Rosaceae. The transcript is spliced from 3 exons.
AGUUAUGAAUUUGUUUCUUUCUUCUGAAAAGCAAUAGUCUGAGCUUUGUUGUUUUGAUAGCAGAAACCAAUUGGAAUCAAGAAUCGGCCUCCAAACCAAAGUAGUCGAAAUUGUCUUCUGGGGCUGUAGAGGAGGACAAAAAUCCCUGAUCAAUGCAAACACUAGAUUAAUCUAACAUUUGUGGUUUAUUGGAAUCCCCACGAUCCAGGCUGAGGGAUUUACAGUGGAGUUUAAGGUGAUCUCAUAAUUCAAGUGAAGGGAAGUAGAUAUUUGCUUCACAAGGUCACACAUUGCAGCUUCAAGCAUUCUUCAAAUCUUGCAUACUCCAUGGCUAGAUGGACAAAAUUUCAACUAUUAUACUCUACAAAGCAUGAAGCUGACAACCUUUCAAAUCAGUACAUGAAUGAGCUUCGUGGUUAUUGUACAUAGUGUUAAAUGAACAUGUGAAAAAUUUGUUUCAAACUGAAAACUUCAUUUGAUUAUGGGUAGUUGUUAGUUCACUUAGAACAACAGAAAUUGAUUACUGUUAUGCAUCCCUAAAUGCAGUUAUUUUUGUCUAUGCAAGCUUUUUCAUUUGUAAUAUUACCAAGUCCCGCAGCAAAGCGUGGGCAAAUUUUCUAGUAUGAAC